Molecule: ribosomal RNA, 778 nt
Filed under: uncultured bacterium
Lineage: Bacteria
Description: bacterial SSU rRNA
Rfam family: Bacterial small subunit ribosomal RNA
Source: RNAcentral
GACUGACUGGCUCGAUACUGACACUGAGGUGCGAAAGCGUGGGAGCAAACGGGAUUAGAUACCCCGGUAGUCACGCCGUAAACGAUGUCUACUAGCCGUUGGAGGACUUGAUCCUUUAGUGGCGCAGCUAACGCGAUAAGUAGACCGCCUGGGGAGUACGGUCGCAAGAUUAAAACUCAAAUGAAUUGACGGGGGCCCGCACAAGCGGUGGAGCAUGUGGUUUAAUUCGAAGCAACGCGAAGAACCUUACCUACUCUUGACAUCCAGUGAACUUUUGAGAGAUCAAUUGGUGCCUUCGGGAACACUGAGACAGGUGCUGCAUGGCUGUCGUCAGCUCGUGUUGUGAAAUGUUGGGUUAAGUCCCGUAACGAGCGCAACCCUUGUCCUUAGUUACCAUCAUUAAGUUGGGGACUCUAAGGAGACUGCCGGUGACAAACCGGAGGAAGGCGGGGACGACGUCAAGUCAUCAUGGCCCUUACGAGUAGGGCUACACACGUGCUACAAUGGCAUGUACAAAGGGUUGCCAAGCCGCGAGGUGGAGCUAAUCCCAUAAAGCAUGUCGUAGUCCGGAUUGGAGUCUGCAACUCGACUCCAUGAAGUCGGAAUCGCUAGUAAUCGUGAAUCAGAAUGUCACGGUGAAUACGUUCCCGGGCCUUGUACACACCGCCCGUCACACCAUGGGAGUGGGUUGCUCCAGAAGUAGAUAGCUUAACCUUCGGGAGGGCGUUUACCACGGAGUGAUUCAUGACUGGGGUGAAGUCGUAACAAGGUAGCCGUA